This 372-nucleotide long non-coding RNA is filed under the name Apteryx haastii (Great spotted kiwi). RNAcentral's name for it is "lncRNA (ENSAHAG00000000727.1)". The record is from RNAcentral. Lineage: Eukaryota; Metazoa; Chordata; Aves; Apterygiformes; Apterygidae.
GCUGCCAAGACCUUCAGGGGUGUUACCAGCGAGGGUGUGGAAGCUGCCAGGUGCCCUGAGGAAGCUGCCAUGCCCUGCAUGCCUGUGUAUUAGAAAGCCAAGGAAGGGAAAUGGAUUAAAAAAAAAAAAAAGGAGCCUCUCUCACACGCCAGGAAGCACUCACCUAGCUGUGCUUGCAGUUGCCCUGCAAAAGAAAGCAGAAGGGCCAUUACAAACUGCAGGGGGAGGCAUUGCAUGCACAAAGUGCUCUGAGCAAGUACCCUUGUCGGGUUACGAUUCUCGGGAGAAGGCAGCAGCCUUCGGCAACUAGUCCAGCACUGUGCUGCUGUGCAGCCCUGCCCUGGCAAGACCCUUGGCACCUGGGCUCACACA